RNAcentral lists this ribosomal RNA (388 nucleotides) under uncultured bacterium. Its description in RNAcentral is "bacterial SSU rRNA". It matches the Rfam family "Bacterial small subunit ribosomal RNA", at positions 28 to 417 of the family's 1533-position model. The record is from RNAcentral.
GACGAACGCUGGCGGCGUGCUUAACACAUGCAAGUCGAGCGGUAAGGCCCUUUCGGGGGUACACGAGCGGCGAACGGGUGAGUAACACGUGGGUGACCUGCCCUCAGCUCUGGGAUAAGCCUGGGAAACCGGGUCUAAUACCGGAUAUGACUCCAUGACGCAUGUUGUGGGGUGGAAAGCCUUGUGCGGCUGAGGAUGGGCCCGCGGCCUAUCAGCUUGUUGGUGGGGGUGAGGCCUACCAAGGCGACGACGGGUAGCCGGCCUGAGAGGGCGACCGGCCACACUGGGACUGAGACACGGCCCAGACUCCUACGGGAGGCAGCAGUGGGGAAUCUUGCGCAAUGGGCGAAAGCCUGACGCAGCGACGCCGCGUGAGGGAUGACGGCCU